This is a long non-coding RNA of Octopus bimaculoides (California two-spot octopus), 713 nucleotides long. RefSeq lists it as uncharacterized. The record is from RefSeq and is a predicted model, not a curated record. NCBI's taxonomy places the organism in Eukaryota, Metazoa, Mollusca, Cephalopoda, Octopoda, Octopodidae.
AAAGAUAGAGCAGCUGAAGUGACACAAGUGGCAGGUUUAUUAGUCUGAUAAGUGUUCCUAUUGUACUUAAGUUGGUGGUGGUUGAGACUAUGAUUGAGGUGAUAUUAAUACUGAUGACAAUGUGAUGAAUCUAAGUGAUAUUAGCGCUACUUACAGCGGUAGCAGCACUCUCUUAGCAGAUGAAGAAUAACGAUUGUACAGCGCUGGUGACAAUGACGAUAGUGUAAGGAAAUGAGUUGAGUUUGAAUAUUGUAAGAAGUAGCAACAUUUUCAUUAUGGAGAAAUUAGGCUUUUGCUAAAGCGAGCAAUACACGAGAGUAGAAGAUAGAAGGAUGAAUACUAAAAGCAGGAAGAAAGAAGAAAAGAACCUGAAAAGAAAGAAUAAUCGAUGCCGUGUUGUAAAGAAGGUGUGGUGACUGCCACGUGAUUAUAUGUGACGUCAAUCGAUUGCUGACGUAAUACGAGCUUGCUUAGAUAUAGUCGCUUAUGGCCCCUCUCUUACUGAGGAACAAGUGGGAAGAAAGACAGCCAAUGCUGAAAAUACAAAGGAAAAUAUUGCUACAUGUCAAAAUGGCAAAAGAAUUAUGUUGGAAGUAAUAUUAUUUAUUGGUUCGUCAACAGUGAAAAUGAAGUAUUUACCUGCCACAUAGAGACCGUUUUGUCAGAAGGAUACAGGAAGGAUCAAAUUAUAUAGAAAUAAAAUAUUUUUUCCA